RNAcentral lists this transfer RNA (25 nucleotides) under Aporrectodea trapezoides. Its description in RNAcentral is "partial tRNA-Asn". The record is from RNAcentral. Lineage: Eukaryota; Metazoa; Annelida; Clitellata; Crassiclitellata; Lumbricidae.
CCCGUGCUAUGUAUAGCUCACUUAG